Molecule: long non-coding RNA, 4713 nt
Organism: Papaver somniferum (opium poppy)
Lineage: Eukaryota; Viridiplantae; Streptophyta; Magnoliopsida; Ranunculales; Papaveraceae
Exons: 7
Source: RefSeq, a predicted model, not a curated record
UUGACGCAUAUUAGGACUGGAAAUUCAGUUAGUAACCACCCACGGUGGCCUUCAUGAAGGUUUCUUAAAUUCCAGUUGAGAGGAAAAGAAAACGAUAUUCCUCCUAGUUUGUAUCGGUUUCUAAUUCCAACAUAGGCAACUCAAGUCCUUAACUGAGGGGCAAACUAAGUAAUCGCACUUUCCCGUAUACUUCCUUCGUGAUUUAGGUUUUCACUUUCCCCCGUGUUGAGCCUCCAUGGAAAAAUCAGAGUUUAUCAGAUCAAAGAAGAAGUGGACGGAAGUCCCCCGCAGAACCAAAGGUAGCACCUUCGCUUGUUUUCGCACAUGGAAAAGAUGGAAAGUUUCAAACUUUUUACAGUAUAUGUUAUGAUCUCACCAAUAAUAGGGCUGCCAUUAAAUUCACACCAGAGCCGAGCAGGAAGUCCUUCUGGCAGAAAUCAAAUCAUCAAGAGAAGAAAUUGGGAAAGACAUUCUUGUGUAUUGUCGUCCUGGUGACAAAGAAUGGCGAAAAGUGUACAUUCUGAUGUAAGACGGCUUCUAUUGCUUUACUUCAAAGUAAGUUGUACAUAAUGACCAGAAGUGAUGAACAUCUAGAGAUAGAGGUUAUGUGUAUUUAACACAGCUGGAUGAAAUGAGCUUGUACAUUUGGAAGAUAAAAGUGUUCUGCUUUCGGUACCAUGUCCUGAUGAUCUUCCGAAGCCAUGGUUCUCGCCCAGCUGGCUCAUGAUUCCUAAUACUCAAAGGGACAACGAUGAUGUUGGAAGAGAAGGAACAGAAUCUAUCUCAGCUAACAACAGUGGAGGAGCUAAGGCAAUGGAAAAAUCUAGCUUAGCGAUAUGGCCAAUCAGGACAAGAACUAACAUAAACAAUGAUGAUGAGAAAGAGGUUAUUGAGGAAGCAAGGCAUUGGGAUAUGAUUAUGAUAAUGACGAUAUAGUGUGGUUCAUAUCGAGUUAUCUAAGCCUGCUGGAUCACAUACAUUUACGUGCUGUUUGUAGAAACUACGGGUUGGCAUAUCCUUUAAAGAAAUGGAGAAGAUUCUGCUGUACUAUGAGUCUACAAACCACUGCCUUGCCUCCAUGGCUGGUUUUCGCCAAGGAUAAUGAAUCUGCCCACAGUUCCAUAAACCCAAUGCAUAAUGAUGAGAAUUACCUCGUAGGCAUCCCUGAAUUGCUAAAAAGUUCAACAAUUCGGUUCUGGAAAGGCAGUUGGCUACACAAAAGCUAUCAUCAAACUUCCAGACUUUCCAGAUGGUUGUAAUUAUCUGUUCACGGGUAUCUCUUUCUCGUCCUUGCCGACUUCUUCAGAUUGCAUUGUUUUUGCCAUCAGUAAUUACAUGGUGGAUUUAGUAUGCAUGUCUUUCAUUAAACGUGGAGACAUAAGGUAGACUUCUGAUAUCUUCACUAAUGUUUUUUUACCACCCAAUAGAACAAACAUGGAUUUUGAGCCGAGUCUUAACAGCCCAAUUUUCUACAGUGGAGCUUUUUAUUGCUGGAUCUGAUCGGACUUUAGGAGUAUUUACAUUAGAGAAUGGCAUAAGGUGGAAAAGUUAUAUCUAUGGUACCCCAUCCCAAAUGUGCUUUCAUAUAUAAGAGUUACUUGGUAGAACUUGAAGGAAAGCUUUUAUCUGUACUAUUAGGCCAUAUGGGAAAUGGGUUCGGAUACAUGUCGGAAAGGGUGUGGUUUGAAGUUGAACAUUUAGGACGGCAUGUCUUGUUUAGCAGCAAUACAUCUUGUGUCACUACAAUUGCUUCGACUAGUCUAAUGGAGAACAAAAUCUACUUUCCUAGGUUGCAAGAAGGAACCCUUUUUUAUUCUUUUGAUUCUGGUAAAUAUCAUUCUCUUGAGAGUGAACAUUAUGAUACAGAUUAUUGCUACUCGAAUGACAAUGUGAGGUUAGCUGGAUAGAACCUAAUUGGUCAGAGCCCACACAGCCAAAUUUUUUUCAUCUUAUCAUGUGUAACUUUAUUUGGGCAUGUUAAGAGUCUUGACAGUGUUGUAUACUAGGUGAUUAUUUGCUUACUUUGGGGAUACAGAUCCAGUUUCUUCAUCUUAUCAUCUGCAGACAAUUCAUGUCUACACUGUCAAGACCUUACUUUGGGUAACCUCUUUCUCAUCAUCAUCGAUUAUGUUAGUCUUGUGCUGAUUGGCGAUAUUGCUAAGCUAGAUUUUUCGUUACCUCCUCCACUGUUGCUAGCUGAGAGGUUCUGUUCCUCUUCCAACGUCAUCGCCGUCCCUACUAAAUAAACAAAAGCAGAAAUGAGAAACAGCACGUAGAGUUUACUAGGUGAUUAUUUGCUUACUUUGUCUGAGGAAGUGAGGCCUUCAUUAAAUGAGAAACAGCACGUAGAGUUACUUACAGAGAACUCAUGAAUUGUCUGCAGAUGGGAUACUACUUUUGCAGUCGAGAAGAAUUAGUAGAGAAAAUUAGCUUUAGUUCAACUAUGAUAAGAAAUCCGGAGUAUCCAGAUCACAGAAAAGUUGGGUGUAGUAGGUUUCAUUAGUAGCCUCUGAAAAUAAAAAUCUGAAAGCAUACUUUAUGCAUAUGAGCUGAUAUGAAGAGCAUUGAUUGUUUGACCUGUUUCGAUCGAGUGAUCCCUUGGUUUGAUGAAUGUUCUUACUAAAAUACAUCAACUCUUAGUGUUCUUGGGUUCACUUGAAUAGACAGAAUGAUGAGAACAUGUACUUUUCCUUUUCUUUAGUCCUUUGUUCAUUGUGUAGUUGGAAAAAAAAAUUAAGCCGGGUUCAUUCUUGCCUGGGUAUGAAGACAGCGUUAAUAAAAGUAAGAAAAUGUAGUGUGGUUGGAAAACUAUAUCACUAUAGUGUAAUUUGAGGGAAGAUUGAGAAAAGAUCCAUGCUAUACGGCAUGAGCUCAUGUUGCGAUGCAUCUUGUUGCAGGAAUUGUUUUCCAAGAUCAUUAUGAAGAAUUUAAAAGUUAGUUUAUCUAUGUUGUAUGGCUAGUGUAACAUUUUGCUAAACUCUUUUGAUCCAUAAGCAAUUUCUCUAUUUGACUUCUUAUUUACAAUUUUCUUACUAAUACUUUAGCAGGACUCCCUUUAUCUUUCUUUUCAUGUUAAAUUCUUCGUGUUUUAUUGUAGAAAGGGAAGUAAGAUGUCAAGUUUGUGUUUUUUUACGGUUUAUACAACUCCAAGUUUGACAGCUACUGAGUAUUUAUACUUGUUCACAGACUUAGACUUUAAGUUAAACAAGAAGCGAUAUAAAUGACGAGCCUUUCAUAGUAUUAGACCAUAAGUCGUUCAACCUACAAAAUAUUGUACUAUAGAAAUGUUUCCAGCAUAUUGUUUUCUGUUGGUAGGAGAAAAACAAAUCCUUAGGAGAGAAUGGAGACAUAGAGAACAAUGUCAUAUACUGACUUGUCACCUUCCAUUGGGACUAUUAGAGCAUCAUUGAUGUGCUUCCGUGAUUAGUUUUUUCAUCAGCUAAUUUUGGUACCAUGAGAUUAAUUGCGUCCCAUUUUCAGGACUUAAUUAUGCAGUUUUGUGCCUUCAGAACUGGUGCAGUGUCUGGGAGCAGCAAUCCCUCAACAAACCAUUGCCCCAAUAUCCUGCAACAAGUUUGGAUACUGGAUUGAAGGGUUGUUCAAAGUAUUGGUAAUGGUCCGAAGGAUAUUCAACCAGGGGCUCAUGUACUUCCAGUAGUCAUUGGGGAAUGCAAGAAGUGUCAACACCUCUGGCAAUAAGCAAUAGGUGUGAUCUGCUUAGAAUCAACACUGACAGAGGUGUAAUGCUCAUUGAAAUGAAGAUCAAGGUUUUCAAUCAAUGGCAAACUUAUUAUUUACAACUUCGCCGGUUGCUCUACUUGUAGUGAGUACAGAGUUGUUCAUGUUGACCCUGAAGCUUCUCUUGACAAAAUCUGUAUUCAUACCUGUGGAUCUCUCUACAGGUCUUGUACUGUGGUUAUUUUGUAAUGAAAUACAUACUUGACUAAGCUUGUGAAGAGGAUAAUGAAUCUGCCCACAGUUCCAUAAACACAAUGCAUAAUGAUGAGAAUUACCUCAUGGGCAUCCCUGACAUGUUAGAAGGUUCAACAAUUCGGUUUUAGAAAGGCGGUUGCCUACUGAUGUCAAAAGGUUACUAUAGUUUGUUCUUUUACAACCCCUUCACAAAAGCUAUCAUCAAACUUCCAGACUUGCCAGAUGGUUGUAAUUAUCUGUUCCGAGAUGGGAUACUAUUUUUGCAGUUGAGAAGAAUUAGCAGAGAAAAUUAUGUUUAGUUCUACUAUGAUAAGAAAUCCGGAGUGUUUAGAUCAGAGAAAAGUUGGGUGUACUAGCUUUCAUUGGUAGCAUCAAACCCAGGGUUGUUCAAAGUAUCGGUAAAGGUGUGAAGGAUAUUCAACCAGGGGAUCAUGUACUUCCAGUAGUCAUUGGGGAAUGCUAGAAGUGUCGCCUCUGGCAAUAAGCAAUAGGUGUGAUCUGCUUAGAAUCAACACUGACAGAAGUGUAAUGCUCAUUGAUGGAAAAUCAAGAUUUUCAAUCAAUGGCAAACUUAUUUACAUCUUCCCCGGUUGCGUAGUGGGUACACAGUUGUUCAUGUUGGUUGUCUGGCUAAGAUCAAUCCUGAAGCUUCUCUUGACAAAACCUGUAUUCAUAGCUGUGGAUCUCUGUGCGUGUUUCUUACAUCAAUGGAUUUUUGGUACCUGUAUGGCUGUAAUUGAGUUCAUAAUUGGUCAUCAUGCUCGAUAUAACGAUUAACAA